ACAUAGCAAGUCGAACGGAGCGAAUGAAAGCUUGCUUUUAUAAGCUAGUGGCAAACGGGUGAGUAACACGUAGACAACCUGCCGACAGGAUGGGGACAACAUUCCGAAAGGAAUGCUAAUACCGAAUGAAGUGCAGGGGAGGCAUCUCCCCUGCAUGAAAGAUGGCCUCUAUAUAUAUGCUAUCACCUGUUGAUGGGUCUGCGUCUGAUUAGCUGGUAGGUGAGGGUAACGGCUCACCUAGGCGACGAUCAGUAGCCGGUCUGAGAGGAUGAACGGCCACAUUGGGACUGAGACACGGCCCAGACUCCUACGGGAGGCAGCAGUGGGGACUCUUCCGCAAUGGGCGCAAGCCUGACGGAGCAACGCCGCGUGAGUGAAGAAGGUCUUCGGAUCGUAAAGCUCUGUUGAUGGGGACGAACGUGCCUAAUGCGAAUAGUUUUAGGCAAUGACGGUACCCAUCGAGGAAGCCACGGCUAACUACGUG
RNAcentral lists this ribosomal RNA (484 nucleotides) under uncultured Selenomonas sp. RNAcentral's name for it is "bacterial SSU rRNA". It matches the Rfam family "Bacterial small subunit ribosomal RNA", at positions 53 to 507 of the family's 1533-position model. The record is from RNAcentral. Lineage: Bacteria; Bacillati; Bacillota; Negativicutes; Selenomonadales; Selenomonadaceae.